This is a long non-coding RNA of Amphiprion ocellaris (clown anemonefish), 4127 nucleotides long. RefSeq lists it as uncharacterized. NCBI's taxonomy places the organism in Eukaryota, Metazoa, Chordata, Actinopteri, Pomacentridae. The record is from RefSeq and is a predicted model, not a curated record. The transcript is spliced from 2 exons.
CUCCUCAAAUAUCUCGCUUUGUCCAAAGAUAUUCAGUUUACUGUCAUAGAGGAGGAAAGAAACCAGAAAAUAUUCACAUUUAUGAAGCUGCAACCUGUUUUUUGAACCUGUUCUUACUACAGUUUAAUAAGAAAAGUCAGAAUGAUGGUGCUAAAGAUUGAAAUGAACUCAGUUUUUACUGUAAUUGGUUCUAAAACUGAAUGCAUUCAUAGUGAUUGGGAGAAAUCAGCAGAAGAUAAUUUACAUUUGGGCGCCAUCUGCUGGCUGAGACUGAAUCUGAACUGGUUUUAAACGGGAUGCUGCCACAAAAUGACCACGAAAUGACCACGAAAUGACCACGAAAUGACCACAGAUUAAAAAUGACGACGUGAUAAAAACCGACCACAGACAGAAGAAACCGACUAAAACUACAUGAAAAAUGACAACAAGCAGUUAUCAGGAGACUGAAAACGUGUUGCUGUCGGUAGCUUAAGAGUUUGGGGAGUUUUAUUUAUCCUUUUAUUGAGCCCAGAUGUUUGUUGUCUUAUAAUCCUCCCUGAAUCCUUCACAUCCCAUAAUACUGCUUUAAACUCAGGAAUGUAAAGUCACAUGGAAAUAAACUACCAGAGUAAAAGUGUUUGAAUUUGAAUCUUGUAAUUUGAAGUUGAAUUCUCAAAAUUAAUUAUUGCAAUAUAUUAUUAAAUUGAAUCUCGUUAUUUGGAUUUUAAUCUCUCAGUUUGAAUAAAUCAACAAAAAUUAGAAUUUAAAUCUUGUAAUUUGAACUUCUCUACUUGGGUAAAAACCUGGGCAAAAGUUUGAACAUUAAUGUUGUCAAUUUGAACGUUGUCAAAAAAUUACUGUAAAGAGACAAAAAUGACCAUAAAGAGACAAAAAAUAACUGUAAAGACACAAAAAUGACUUUAGAGCAGGGGCGAUUCUAGCAUCAGAGGUUUAGUGUGCUGAGCAGUGUUGCCAAUUGGCGACUUUCUCACUAAAUCUGGCGACUUUCCAAAGCCUCCUGGUGACUUUUUUGUCAAAAGCAACUAGCGACAAAUCUAACGACUUUUUCUGGCGUUUUGGAGACUCUGACAUCAGUGCCACCCCCCUCCCCCGUGAUCUGAUUGGCCACUCCGUGUGCCCCCCCAAAAUUUUCAUUGGAAAUUUACAUUACUGAAACUCCGAUUUCCGACGGUCCUGAACGCAACUUCGUUGUCCGACUGCAACUAAUUGCACCAAUGACGUUAGUUUGAUCUUUUGAUUGCAUUUCGUUUGGAUUUGAAGAAGCUUUGAAGACGUUUCCUGAUGCCGGAGGAGAAGACGAGCAGCUUUGGACCUUUGCGGUAAGAAGACUAUGGCCGUUUCUCAGUAGGUAACUGUCCGGACUUACGUUCUGACGUACUCGUGAAACGUCAUCAUGGAGACUGCAUCGGACCAGACUAGUGGCAUGAGAUAUGAAUGAGUUAAUAGGACACGCCUAUAGAUAUGAAUCAGUAGAUAGGACACGCCUGUAGAUAUGAAUCAGUAGAUAGGACACGCCUGUAGAUAUGAAUCAGUAGAUAGGACACGCCUGUAGAUAUGAAUCAGUAGAUAGGACACGCCCAUAGAUAUGAAUCAAUAGAUAGGCCACGCCCCUUUGAGCUGCGUGCUACAGCGAGGCUAAGCUAAUGGGGGCAAAGUUUCAGUGCAUUCCAUUGAUGUAGACGGCGUGAAAACGUAAACAACAAGUAUGCCGUCUCACUGUGCUACAUACAAUUACACACUACGUCGUACGAUUGAGACAAGGAAACUUGGAAUGACUUUUCAUAGGUAAGAAUAGUUUUUGGCUCUUUUUUCAUUAUGAAAUCUUGUUGAGAGCUUCCAGUCUAUGAGAGCUAACUAGUUAGCCACUAGCAAAACGCUAAGGCGAGCUAGCAGCUUGACAACCUAAUACCAGACGAUUAAUAGUAGCUGUAGUAUAGUUGUACAAGCAGUAGUAGUAAUACUAAAAGUACAAGCAGCAGUAGUAGUAUAAACAGCUGUUAGAGUCGUAGAAGUAGUAUCAGCAUUUGUAAUAAUAUUACAAGUUGUAGUAGCAGUGCCAGUAUCAGCAGCAGCUAAUGUACUACCAAUACUACUAGUAGUAGUCACAUUGCUAUUACAACUACCAAUACUACCAAUAGUAGUUAUGAAGCCUAACUCAUGUAUAUCCAGAUUACCAUCUAUGUUCUUCCUCCAAACCCAUUUUAUGAUUGGGAUUACAGGCAGUUCUUUAGGACUGCUCUCAAAUAAUUGAAAUGUUACUAAACAAGGUUAUACUUAUCAAAUUAAAUAGCUCUGGUCUCCAGUAUAUUGGCGAAUUCGGUUCUUUGUACUUAAUUUAUUAGCAUGAUUUCUUUUUAAUAUGUUGUGUACAGACUUACUUACUUCUCUGUCUACUUUACUUACUCCAUGUAGGUUUCCCAGAGACUAUGGGUUGAGGAGGAAUUGGAAGUUUGUCGGCUUAGACCUGGUGUCAUUCCAUCAGUGUUAAACUUCUCGGCUCAUCUUUGAAGAGUACGUGCCAGAAAGACCACGACCAAGCAGCCUUGAGAUCUUAGACAGCGUCUCCCUGAGGUCUCUCUCUAUCUCCCCACACAUCCACCAACCACUGGAACACAUCUCCAAAGUUCUGCUGGACCAGCUCAGCUUCCCCUCAGAAGAAGUGCUGCCACCUGCCAGAUGAAGGAGCCUUUUGAGAGGCAGCUGGCAUCGUGAUUGGACUGUACUUUGGUCUGUUCCAGUCCAGCUUCAGCUCCAGAGACGGCAGGCGGGACGAGUCAACGGAGGCCUGGUGGACGAAGACAUGCAGCUGAGUACAAUCCAGAAAACAACAGAGGAGGAGGAAACAAACGUAGUAGUAUAGUAGAAAAUAUACAUCGUAGAUUGUACAAAUAACAAGUCAAAGGAAAGAGACAUACACUGUAGAAUUGUAGUAAUUGUGGGCUGAUUGAUUUACUGAUUAUUGGUAUUUGAUUUUUUACUGGUAAUAAAUACAUUUACUUUGGCUCUGAACCUUUAUCUACCUGUGGUCGCUCUGUCUUAUGGAGUGAUUUGAUUGGUUAUACGUCACGAAUAAAACUCCUUUAACAUCUGUAAACAAAACAAAAACAUAUCAACAAAGUUUUCUGUUAGAGUUUGUGUUCUUCUAAGUUUAACUCCAAGAUUUUAAAUACUUUCAUUUACUGCAAAUGAAUAUCUACUCCAAAUGUCUCACUAAUAAUCAUUAUCAGCCUUAAAAACCCACAAAACACCCCUCUAUACUGGACAACACUUAGUACAGUCCGGUUCCCCCUUCUAUAAAUCUGCUUGGAAUCUUCCACUUCCUGUUUGUCAAAGUGGCCUUCUACCUGGACAGGUUUUGUUGGAGCUCAUGCAACAAACAUUUUGGGUAACUGCACUUUAAUAUGGAUGGAUGACACUGAAUUAGAGUCUGUUUUAAUGAGACUGAGUUAAGAUGUGUAGCUCUGUCAUUAAAUAGGAAAUUAUUUCUCAGAAUUCACAGAGAAAAGUCUGAAAUGUUUGCUAGGUUAGCGUCCCACAUGUUCUUUGGCUCAGCUAAAGCUAACUCUCUCCAACUUCUGGAUCUCUUGAGUUGCUUGUUGUUAAAAUAUCUUGCUAGAGGUGCUGAAGCUCAGAAAGUCUGAGAUGUUUGUUCAAAAUAAGCUCAUUCUAAAGUCUUAUCUGAACUGUCCUCUUUUGUUUGAACUUUCCCUAAACUUAGGAGUUAAUGACAGAGCAGCACAUCCAGACUCAGUCUCAUUUAUGUAGAGAUUAAACUUCAGUGUCAUUCAUUGAUGUUAAAGUGCAGUUUUUCAAAUGUUUGUUGCACAUGCUCCCGACCAAACCAGUCCAGGUGGAAGACGAUGUGAAGAGAAAGCUCCAGAGGAUUAAUAUCACACAUUUACGUUGGAAAUAAAUGUCCUUUAAUUAGACAUUGUCAUGCAAAAGUUGGAUUUCCCUUUAAUGAUGUUCAAAUCUUUGUUGAGUGUUUUGUUGAUGUUGUUUUCUAAAUGUUUUUUGACACUCUGCCCCAAAGAUUAAAACCUUUUACGGCUCACAAGCUGCAACAAUUCACACAUUAUCAACUAUCUUUCUGACUAAACUAAGAUAAAAAGUGAAAAACUGCCUGA